RNAcentral lists this ribosomal RNA (254 nucleotides) under uncultured bacterium. Its description in RNAcentral is "partial 16S ribosomal RNA". It matches the Rfam family "Bacterial small subunit ribosomal RNA", at positions 526 to 779 of the family's 1533-position model. The record is from RNAcentral.
CGGAGGGAGCUAGCGUUGUUCGGAAUUACUGGGCGUAAAGCGCACGUAGGCGGCUAUUCAAGUCAGAGGUGAAAGCCCGGGGCUCAACCCCGGAACUGCCUUUGAAACUAGAUAGCUUGAAUCCAGGAGAGGUGAGUGGAAUUCCGAGUGUAGAGGUGAAAUUCGUAGAUAUUCGGAAGAACACCAGUGGCGAAGGCGGCUCACUGGACUGGUAUUGACGCUGAGGUGCGAAAGCGUGGGGAGCAAACAGGAUU